Molecule: ribosomal RNA, 254 nt
Filed under: uncultured bacterium
Lineage: Bacteria
Description: partial 16S ribosomal RNA
Rfam family: Bacterial small subunit ribosomal RNA
Source: RNAcentral
UACGUAGGGGGCAAGCGUUGUCCGGAUUUAUUGGGCGUAAAGAGCUCGUAGGCGGUUUGGUAAGUCUGGUGUGAAAUCUCCACGCUCAACGUGGAGGGGCCACCCGAUACUGCCAUGACUGGAGUCCGGUAGAGGAGUGUGGAAUUCCCGGUGUAGCGGUGAAAUGCGUAGAUAUCAAGAGGAACACCUGAGGUGAAGACGGGUUGCUGGGCCAACACUGACGCUGAGGCGCGAAAGCCAGGGGAGCAAACGGG